RNAcentral lists this ribosomal RNA (365 nucleotides) under uncultured eukaryote. RNAcentral's name for it is "partial 18S ribosomal RNA". It matches the Rfam family "Eukaryotic small subunit ribosomal RNA", at positions 592 to 975 of the family's 1831-position model. The record is from RNAcentral.
CAAUAGCGUAUAUUAACGUUGUUGCAGUUAAAAAGCUCGUAGUUGGGUUUCUGGAGGGAGCGUCGGCCCGUAUUUACGAGUGCGUGACGUCUCUGUCCAUCCUUGCGGGAAGGCACGGCAUUGAUUUGUUGUGUCGGAUCGCAUCAUUUACUGUGAAAAAAUUAGAGUGUUCAAAGCAGGCUUUCGCUUGAAUACAUUAGCAUGGAAUAAUAAGAUAGGACUUUGGUGCUAUUUUGUUGGUUGAGCCUAAAGUAAUGAUUAAUAGGGAUAGUUGGGGGCACCUGUAUUGCGUUGUCAGAGGUGAAAUUCUUGGAUUUACGCAAGACAAACAGCUGCGAANGNGUCUGCNAAGGAUGUUUNCAUUA